GGCUUUUGCAGAGAAGAAGAGUAACUCAUCUCGAACUAUCAUUAUAGUUGUGGCGGUUGUUGUUUUUGUGGUCUUAGUAAUCUGCAUCUGUGUCUGUAUCCAUUUAAGAGUGAAAAAGCGAAGGAAGAAAGUUAAAAAUAAGUUAAAAAUGGGUUUCUUGUCCUAUUUAUACUAAGGAUUUUGAUUCUAUAAAAUAUAAAUACAAACCAAAUCAGACAAUUAGUAGUAUAUAUGCUACUUAAUUUAUAAGUGAAGCUGUGGAUGAAAUAAUUAGUGCUGAAUCAUUGCAAUUCGACUUUGCUACAAUUAGAGUUGCUGCAGAGAAUUUUUCAGAUGCAAAUAAGCUUAGGCAAGGUGGAUUUGGUGCUGUUUACAAGGCUAGGGUAUGCUCUCAAAUGGACAAGAAAUAGCUGUGAAAAUGUUGUCUACUGUUUCCGAACAAGGCAUGGCGAAAUUGGAGGAAGGCUAGUUCAACAUCUGAAAUAACGUACUUUUGGUGUUUGGCAGACGACUUUGACUUUCUUACAUUCCACCGGCACCCCGUCCCUUGACCGCAAUAAUAGGAAACGCGUACUGGAAAACUACGUCGAGUGUUUGGCCCGCGAAGAAAGUCAUUUAAAUUAAUUUCUAAUAACUGGGGCAUGGACCAUGGAUAAUGGCGAGGACGUUUCGGCGUCGUACGUGGCUUCUCCUCGACCACUUCUGUCUCAACCAACUGGAAAACUAGCUUUCAUUAUUCAACGCAUGCGAAACACCUUGGGGGAUCAAUUAAUGGAGAAAUAUAAAAGUAUGCAGCUAGCUGCGUUGAAUGGACAAACGUAGACUAAAAGAAAGUGCCAUAAUUUUUUACUAUUAUAUGUACGCUAAUUAAACAUUAUUUAUGUCCACUUAAUCUUCUCAUAAAUUGCAAGUAUACGAAUAUA
Long non-coding RNA from Alnus glutinosa, 923 nucleotides. RefSeq lists it as uncharacterized. The transcript has 4 exons. The record is from RefSeq and is a predicted model, not a curated record. NCBI's taxonomy places the organism in Eukaryota, Viridiplantae, Streptophyta, Magnoliopsida, Fagales, Betulaceae.